UGUGCAGAGAAAUUAGCAGCCAUACUAAUUCACACAAAACCCAUGUACACAAGGGAAAGGACAUAACAUCAAAUAACAUGCAAAAGAAUGGAAUUCAGCCUCUUUCACAUUGAAUCACAAAGAUCGAUAAAAAUAGGAGAAGCAGUCACAGUAUCAGAGUAGUGAGCUGUGCAACCACAGGCUAUUAGCUUGUGCCAGAGACCACAUUUUGGUACAACAAAUGUCAAAAGAUUGACAUUUUCAACACUGAAUGUAAAAGCUACUGGAGCUGAAGCAUUUGCCAAUAGCAUUGCUAAGCCAUUCUAAAUUCACUUAUGAAUUGGACGCUGAUAAAGGAGAAAAACACAGAAACUGAGUGCACAUACAGCAGAACACAGAACCACUUUUCCCCUCCUGCUGUGUUUACAGGCAAGCCAGCACUGGAAUAUGAAGUCAGGAAGUAUUGCAGUGGGCACACACUGCCUCAUCUCAGAUUAAUACACCUGACAAAAGUCUCAGCAAAUUCACGUAUAUCUUUUUGCACUUUGUAGUGCCCUUACAGUCUGGAGAAGGGUUCCCAGAUGACAUUGUGCCACAGCUGUUCUCUGUGCCAUGCUGUCAAGCUGAGAAGUGACAUACUUAUUUAGGCUUGCAUGUUGGAAGCAGAAGUCAUGCCAAUCGCUGAAGCAUUGAUGCAUGAUGCUGGAGGAGCAGAAAGUCAGUGAAUGUCUUGGAUCAACACAAUUCACCUCUGAAAUCCUCUGCUGCAGCCUGAAAAGCAUCGAAAACCUCAGUCCAAUUGCCUGGCAUCAAAAAUUCAUGAAGCAGAACUUUUAAUCUAAAAAUCUGGAGUAAAGUCAUAAUUAUCAAUGAACAUGGCUUGUAAUUCAGUGCCACAGGGAGCUG
Molecule: long non-coding RNA, 885 nt
Organism: Vidua chalybeata
Lineage: Eukaryota; Metazoa; Chordata; Aves; Passeriformes; Viduidae
Exons: 3
Source: RefSeq, a predicted model, not a curated record